Mirounga angustirostris (Northern elephant seal) is the source of this 795-nucleotide long non-coding RNA. RefSeq lists it as uncharacterized. NCBI's taxonomy places the organism in Eukaryota, Metazoa, Chordata, Mammalia, Carnivora, Phocidae. The record is from RefSeq and is a predicted model, not a curated record. The transcript is spliced from 3 exons.
CACCCAUUUCAGGUCUCUGCAGAGGCGGUGCCUGAAAGGAGGUGAGGGAGAUGGUGGCUGGUUGUCAAAUGCGCACCUCCUGCCCUUAAGCCAGGCUGCAUGGCUUGUGAGGCAUUUCACCUCUGAGCUGUCACCGGGAGAGAUCCAACUUCCAGGGGGAAGAUACUGGAAGCCCGCUCUGGUUGCUCCAGCCCACAUGAUCUUUCUCCAUGAAUUUCCUGAAUUCAGAGCACCCACUGGCUACUCCCUGUGUGCAGAAGCCUUGUGACCUCUCUGGAAAUGAGUGUGGUGGUUCAUUUCCUAGCUUCAUAAACAGAGGCAAACAACAACCUUGGUUCCUCCCCUGAAGGAGCUCAAAGUUAUACAGGCAGCCGGCUGACAGCAAGAGGCAGUGCUCAAAGGAGAUGGGAGUCGCCACCACAGGUGAACUUGGCUGACCUCAAUAGCAUGCAGCCUGCCCUAUGGAUGGGUAUCUCUUCUCUGUCCCCAAAUCCAUGAGCUGAGAUCUUCACAAGCUGUUGGCGGCAUAGGCAGCUCACUGUACCACUCCCCAGGCACCGAGAAUCAGCUUGGUCGAGACCCCAGAGAUUGAAACUAUCUCCUUGACCCUUGCAGUUCUGCUACUGGGAAACUGAGGCCCAGCUAGAGUUGCUUCUGGGGUCAGUAACAUUUAGUAAUCCUUUCUUUCCUUCACUUAACCUUAUGCCUACUGACAGAAAUGAACAGAACCCAGUUUUUUUUUCUUUUUAAUAUUGUAUUUAUUUAUUUGAGAGAGAGCAUGAGCAGGGGGAGGGG